RNAcentral lists this ribosomal RNA (324 nucleotides) under Triticum aestivum (bread wheat). RNAcentral's name for it is "partial small subunit ribosomal RNA". Lineage: Eukaryota; Viridiplantae; Streptophyta; Magnoliopsida; Poales; Poaceae. The record is from RNAcentral.
AUGUCGGCAGUAAUCACAAAGUUCGCCGUCACAUCUAUGGUGAUGUGGAUGGCCCCAGUUGCAAUCAUGUAUGGGUUUAUCUACCAGAUUUUUCCAGGUGUCGGUCAGCUUUCCCCCUCGGCGCAAACUAUGGCCAGUGGAUUCCUUGCUGUCAUCUCGGUCAAUCUGGUGAUCGGCUUUUACAUAUACAUGGCCAUGAAGGAGACUCCCCAUCAAGAGCCACAGCCUGAUCCAACCUUUCUGGCAAACGCCAAAGCAAGCAUCAACCAGCCAACUUCUUCGCAAGUGAGUGAUGAUUCCCAUGGGAAGGGGAAGGUGGAGUAG